Long non-coding RNA from Saccostrea echinata, 336 nucleotides. RefSeq lists it as uncharacterized. The record is from RefSeq and is a predicted model, not a curated record. Lineage: Eukaryota; Metazoa; Mollusca; Bivalvia; Ostreida; Ostreidae. The transcript has 2 exons.
CACUAUAACCUUGUACAAUAUCUGUAUAUAAGUGGCGGAGAGAAAAAUUAAACAGACCAUUCUAUUUCGGACAGAAGUUUACAAUGAAGUCUUUGCUUCUCCUGUUGGUUGUCUGUUUAGCAGUCGGUGCUUAUGCCAAUAGUUGCACGGAUACAUGUGACGCAACAUACAAUGGUUGCGUCCAAGGAUGUCGUGACUCACAUGCACACGGCCACGCGUUCGACACGUGCCAGAACACUUGUCAGCUGGCGAGGGACACUUGUCAUGCUACAUGUCAUGGACAUGGAAAAUGAAUUCAUAAAUGUAUUAAAAAAUGAAAUAAACUUUUUCGUUUAA